UUUAAACAGAACUAAAAAUACUUAAAUAAAUAAAACCUUUAAACGGAACUGCCACCAGCAUCAAAAUGUUACGUGUCCGGUUGUCAGAAUCGAUAUUCCAACAGCGGACUCAAGCUCUACAGAAUUCCGACAGGAUCACGACCGAUUCAGAGCAACCGGCUGCGUCUAUGGCUGCAAGCUGCUAUUAAACGUGGACUGAGGACACGAUACAACUGCUCGUGUUUGUAGCGCCCAUUUUAUAUCAGUUAAAGUUAUCUAUCUACUAUUUUAAUUCACUGGGAAGCCUGGUUUACAAAAACAAUUGUCUCUAAAAUGUAGAUUACUAAUUUAAUGUAGCUAAAGUUUGAUUACCAGCGUUGUUAGAUUUGGCUAGUAAACAAACACGUGUGUUGUGGGCGUAUUCCAGAAAGCAGGUUGAACAAACUCUGAGCCUAACCCUGAACUUUGAGUAGGUGAACCCUGAGAUGGGAAAUUUCGGUUCCAGAGUAGCUGAGUUAGUUCAAUCAACUCUGAGUAUGUUCACUCUGAGUUAAAGCAACAUUAUGAUUAUGUAACUAUUUUAUCUUAAAAUAACAGCUUCAAAAUAAUUUUGGUGGUACACUGACUUGUAUAACUUGUAAUAUGUAACUUUGGUGGACAGGGUGUGACAAAUAGUACCUUCUUGCUUUUUCUAUGUGUAAAAUGGUUACUGGUUCUUACUUAUGAAAAUGUUUGAAGUAAAUGGGAUGAAUCCCUUUUUUCAUUUUGAGGACAUUUCUAUCACACUUUAGAGCUUCUGAUUUUUAUUGAAGAACGAAAAUGAGUGAAAGAUCUGUUGUCUGCCGAAUUGAACAGAUCAGGCCUCAAUUAACAACUUCAGCAUACAGAGAUCCUCCACCUGAAGAAUGGCACCUAUCUUCCUGCCAUCACUAGACACUUGAUUUCUCACACCUAAAUGAAGAAUUUAAAAAGAAGCAACACACUGUAAAAUGUUAUAACAAUAUACCUGUACACGGUAAUAGUUUUCUAAUGUGGUCUAAUAGUUUUCUAAUGAGAAAACCCAUUCAUAGGGAUUUUUUUCUUUGGAACCAGGAUGUAUUAAAAUACUAACACUAAAAACGACACACUUCCAGUCGACUUGUUUACUCUAGCAGCGUUACACCAUCGUAAAUACGACAUCCAGUUUAUGGCCAUGGCAGCUUUUGAUAAGGAGCUUUCGCGGACAAUUGCUGAGCCAUAAGACAUGAGAAAACAAUAAGAAGACAUAAGAAAACAAUGUAGUGCUACUUUGCUCCCCUCUCACCUGACACAUGUGUUGCAACUUUUGGAUAAAGCAAUGUUUGGGGAGAUAAAGAAACAGUGGCAUAAGAAACUUUGUUGCCAUGCGAGGGCUAUCAGAGGCCAAAUCAGGAAGGAGGAUUAUCCACAGAAGUUAAAAGACCUGUUGGACAUUGACUUAAAGACUAAAAACCUUAGAAGUGGAUUUGAAAGCAGAGGGAUUUAUCCAUUUGCCCCACAGCAUGUCAUAGAGGGGACGGAGAGCAACACAGUACAAAGAAGGCAUUUGGGCAUUCAACAGUUCCUUGAUAAAACAUUCAAAGCCAAAAACCUACUUCAAAAUGCUUUUCAGGUGGAAAAUAUGCAUCUAUUUUGUUGUAUUGAAUGCUAAAACUGACCAGUAGCUGAGGUGAAAGACACUGCAAUACCAUUAAUUACUACUGUGGCUCAUAAAGAUGUACAAAAUAUGUUAUUAAAUUAUACUUCUGUCAUCAUUAAAGACAAGACAUGUUAA
Clupea harengus (Atlantic herring) is the source of this 1771-nucleotide long non-coding RNA. RefSeq lists it as uncharacterized. The record is from RefSeq and is a predicted model, not a curated record. NCBI's taxonomy places the organism in Eukaryota, Metazoa, Chordata, Actinopteri, Clupeiformes, Clupeidae.